CUAAUUAAACAAUUGGGAUUCUGAGCACUUCUUUGCUCAGAGAAAUGAUUAAUAAUUUCAAAAUUUCAAAAUGUCAAGCUGAUUAUAUAAACCAAAUCACUGAAAUUUUGCAUUUAACUUGGGUCUUGUCUUUGGUCAACAGAAAUAAUGUGAUACCAUGGAUAUACUGUGGAUUUAUUGAAAUGAAGAGCAGUUGCUUCUCUGAUCACCCACAGAUCACAUUUAAAAUGAUUAAUCAUGCAUUACAACAGAUUGGUUAAUUUGGAAAAUUUUAUUAUAUGAGUUUCUAUAUCAUUAUUUUUAUUAUUAUUGCUUUAUUAUAAUUUAUCUCAGAUACAUGAAGUCACUUGGUGCUCUGGUAGCUUUCAUGCGCGUCCGUGUUAAGAGACCACCAAACGGGCUUUGUGUGAGCAAUAAAGCUGUUUAUUUCACCUGGGUGCAGGUGGGCUGAGUCCGAAAAGAGAGUCAGCGAAGGGAGAUAGGGGUGGGGCCGUUUUAUAGGAUUUGGGUAGGUAAAGGAAAAUUACAGUCAAAGGGGGUUUGUUCUCUGGCGGGUAGGAGUGGGGGUCGCAAGGUGCUCAGUGGGGGUGCUUUUUGAGCCAGGAUGAGCCAGGAAAAGGACUUUCACAAGGUAAUGUCAUCACUUAAGGCAAGGACCGGCCAUUUACACUUCUUUUGUGGUGGAAUGUCAUCAGUUAAGGUGGGGCAGGGCAUAUUCACUUCUUUUGUGAUUCUUCAGUUACUUCAGGCCAUCUGGGCGUAUACGUGCAAGUCACAGGGGAUGCGAUGGCUUGGCUUGGGCUCGGAGGCCUGACAUUCCUGCCUUCUUAUAUUAAUAAGAAAAAUAAAACAAAAUAGUGUUGAAGUGUUGGGGCGGCGAAAAUUUUUGAGGGUGGUAUGGAGAGAGAAUGGGCGAUGUUUCUCAGGGCUGCUUCAAGUGGGAUUAGGGGCAGCGUGGGAACCUAGAGAGGGAGAGAUUAAGUUGAAGGGAGGUCUUGUGUAAGCGGUGAUAUUGUGGGGAUGUUAGAAGAAACAUUUGUCAUAUAGAAUGAUUGGUCAUGGCCUGGAUACGGUUUUGGAUGAAUUGAGAAACCAAAUAGAAUAAAAGAAGGAGAAAAACAGGUAUAAAAGGUCUAAGAAUUGGGAUGACUCAGGAUAUCUGAUUAGAGAGUGCCUAAGGAGAUUCAGUAUAGUCCUGCCAGCAAAGAUUAUUUAUUUACUUCAAGAGUUAAGAGUGGCAGUUUGGGGAUAGCACCAGGAGAUAUCAGCUGUGAUGGCUUGGAAAAACAGUGUAAACCGGCAGUGUAAACAAGAGCAGGGCAUGUAUGAGUAGUUGAGAACGGUGAAUAUGAGUAUGACUAGACAGAAGAUAGUGGGGAUGACAAGUUUUUUGGGGCACAGUCUAAGUUGGUCUGGUGUCUGGAAUGAGACUGGGGCCUAAUAAAAAGGAGCGUCUAUACAGGAGCUUAAAUGGGCUGUACCCUGUAGCAUUCUGAGGACAGGCCUGAAUUCUGAGAAGGGAAGGUGGUAAAAGUAUUGUCCAGUCCUUUUUAAGUUGGUGGCUGAGCUUGGUGAGGUGUGUUUUUAAAAGACCUUUAGUCCAUUCUACUUUUCUUGAAGAUGGAGGAUCGUAAGGGAUAUAAAGGUUUCACUGAAUACUAAGAGCCCGAAAAACUGCUUGGCUGAUUUGACUAAUAAAGGCUCAUCUGUUAUCAGACUGUAUUGAGGUGGGAAGGCUAAACUGAGGAAUUAUGUCUGACAGAAUGGAAGAAAUGACUGCGGUGGCCUUCUCAGACCCUGUAGGAAAGGCCUGUACCUAUCCAGUGAAAGUAUCUACCUAGACUAAGAGGUAUUUUAGUUUUCUGACUCGGGGCAUGUUGAGUAAAGCUAAUUUGCCAGUCCUGGGUGGGGCAAAUCCUCGAGCUUGAUGUGUAGGGAAGGGAGGGGGCCUGAAUAAUCCCUGAGGAGUAGUAGAAUAGCAGAUGGAACACUGAGAAGUUAUUUCCUUGAGGAUAGAUUUCCACGAUGGAAAGGAAAUGAGAGGUUCUAAGAGACAGGCUAGUGGCUUGUACUAUAGCAUAACCUGCCUUUGCUGGUAUGUGGCGAUUAGGCCUGGUGGAACCACCAUCAAUAAAUCAAGCGUGAUCAGGUGAGGAACAGGAAAGAAGGAAAUAUAGGGAAAUGGGGUGAAUAUCAGGUGGAUCAGAGAGAUACAGUCAUGGGGGUCAGGUGUGGUAUCAGGAAUAAUGUGGGAGGCCGGAUUGAAGUCUGGGCCAGGAACAACGGUAAUUGUGGGACUUAACAAAGAGUGAGUACAGCUGAAGGAGCCGGGGAGCAGCAGGUAUAUGCGUCAGGUAUGAGGAAGAAAAUAGAUUUUGGAAGUUAUGAGAACUGUAGAGAUUGAGUUGAGCAUAGUUUGUGAUUUUGAGGGCCUCUAAAAGUAUUAGGGCAGCAGCAGCGGCUGCACGGAGACAUGAUGGCCAGCCUGAAACAGUAAGGUCAAGUUGUUUGGACAAAAAGGCUACAGGACGCGAUCCUGGUCCUUACAUAAGAAUUCCGACUGCACAGCCCUGCACUUUGGCUGUGUGUAAUGAAAAGGGUUGGGAUGAGUCAGGGAGAACUAGAGUGGGGGCAAUUUCUAAAGCUGUCUUCAAGGAAUGGAAAGAGGAGUGGGGAAAGGAUUUAGGAUCUAUGGGGUCAGCUAGGUUUCCUUUUGUGAGCUUAUAUAAUGGUUUUGUUAGGAUGGCCAAACCAGGUAUCCAAAGGCGAAAGUAUCCAACCAUGGCCAGGAAGGAAAGGAGUUCUUGUUUUGUAGAAGGGGUUGGGGUUUGAGAGAUCAGUCAGACACGAUUGGCAGGGAGAGCACGUGUGUUUUUAUGAGAAUUAUGCCAAGAUAGGUAACAGAUGAGGAAGAAAUUUGAGCUUGAUUGAAGUAAUGGGGGCUGUCUGUGAAGCUUUGCGGCAGUACAGCCCGGGUAAUUUGCUGAGCUUGAUGGGAGUCAGGGUCAGUCCACGUGAAAGCGAAGAGAGGCUGGGAUUAAUGGUGCAAAGGAAUAGUAAAGAAAGCAUGUUUGAGAUCUAGAACAGAAUAAUGGGUUGUAGAGGCAGGUAUUGAGGAUAGGAGAGUAUAUGGGUUUGGCACCACGGGGUGGACAGACAAAACAAUUUGGUUGAUAAGGCGCAGAUCCUGAACUAACUUGUAAGGCUUGUCUGGUUUUAGGACAGGUGAAAUGGGGGAAUUGUAAGGAGAGUUUAUAGGCUUUAAAAGGCCAUGCUGUAGCAGGCGAGUGAUAACAGGCUUUAAUCUUUUUAAAGCAUGCUGCAGGAUGGAAUAUUGGCAUUGAGUGGGGUAAGGGUGAUUAGGUUUUAAUGAGAUGGUAAGGGGUGCAUGAUCGGUCGCCAAGGAGGGAGUAGAGGUAUCUUAUACUUGUGGGUUAAAGUGGGGGAUAAAAGAGGAGGAUGCAAAGGAGGCUUUGGAUUGGGAAGAAGGGCGGCAAUGAGAUAUAGCUGUAGUCCAGGAAUAGUCAGGGAAGCAGAUAAUUUAGUUAAAGUGUCUCAGCCUAAUAAGGGAACUGGGCAGGUGGGGAUAACUAAAAAGGAGUGCUUAAAAGAGUAUUGUCUAAGUUGGCACCAGAGUUGGGGAGUUUUAAGAGGUUUAGAAGCCUGGCCGUCAAUACCCACAACAGUUCUGGGGGCAAGGGAAACGGGCCCUUGAAAAGAAGGUAAUGUGGAGUGGGUAGCCUCCGUAUUGAUUAAGAAGGGGACGGGCUUACCGUCCACUGUGAGACUUACCCGAAGCUCGGCGUCCGUGAUGGUCUAGGGGGCUUCCGAGGCGAUUGGGCAGUGUCAGUCUUCAGCCUCUAAGCCGAGAAGAUCUGGCAAGGAGUCAGUCAGAGAGCCCUGGGCCAGAGUUCCAGGGGCUCUGGGAGUGGCUGCCAGGUGAGUUGAACAGUCUGAUUUUCAGUGGGGUCCCACACAGAUGGGACGCGGCUUAGGAGGAAUCCCGGGCUGCGGGCAUUCCUUGGCCCAGUGGCCAGAUUUCCAGCACGCGUAGCAAGCUUCUGUGGGAAAAGGUUCUGGAGGAACGCCUGGCCACUGCACUUCAGGCAUUUGGAAGUUCUUAUGUGCUGGAGAUGUGGCUGGGGUUUGUCUCACAGUGGAGGCAAGGAAUUGCAACUUUUUUCUAUUAUUGUACACAUUGAAGGUGAGGUUAAUUAAAUCCUGUUGUGGGGUUUGAGGGCCAGAAUUUAAUUUUUGGAGUUUUAUUUAAUGUUGGGAGCAGACUGGGUAAUAAAAUGCAUUUUGAGAAUAAGACGGCCUUUUGACAUUUUAGGGUCUAGGGCUGUAAAGUGUCUCGGAGUUGCUGCCAAACAAGUCAUGAACUGGGCUGGAUUUUUAUAUUUGAUGUAAAAGCCUAAACGCUAUCUGAUUUGGGAUAAAGAGAAAGGAGCAUUAACCUUGACUAUGCCUUUAGCUCCAGCCACCUUUUUAAGAGUAAAUUGCUGGGCAGGAGGGGGAGGGCUAGUCACGGAACGAAACUGUAAGCCGGACCAGGUGUGAGGAGGGGAGGUGAUAAAAAGAUUAUAGGGUGGAGGAGCAGAGGCUGAGGAAGAAUUGGGACCUAGCUUGGCCUGGCAAGGAGCAGCCUUGGGAGGAAGGGAGAGGUCAGAUGGGUCUGUAGAAAAGGAAGAUUAGAAAGACUCAGCGACGCUUGGGGUUGGUACUGAGGGGACAGGCGGAAGGGAAAGAAGGAAGAUUUGGGAUGAGUUGCACUGGGCACAGAGACUAGGAAAGGACUGAUGUGUAAAAGAAUGCCUGGACAUCAGGCACCUCAGACCGUUUGCCUAUUUUACGACAAGAAUUAUUUAGAUCUUGCAGGAUGGAAAAAUUCAAAGUGCCAUUUUCUGGCUAUUUGGAACUGCUGUCGAGUUUGUACUGGGGUCAAGCGGCAUUGCACAAGAAAAUAAGCCAUUUAGGUUUUAGGUCAGGUGUGAGUUGAAGAGGUUUUAAGUUUUUGAGAACACAGGCCAAGGGAGUAGAAGGAGGAAUGGAGGGUGGAACGUUGCCCGUAGUGAAGGAAGCAAGCCUAGAGAAAAGAGAGAGUAGAGAAACAGAGGGAAGGGGUUCGGGCAUUCUUACCUUCCAGAAAAGUGGGAAAAGGGGUUGGGGUGCAGAGAUAAGAGGUUGGGGCAGGGAAAUAAGGGAUGGGGCGCAGAAAUAAGAGGUUGGGGCAUGGUAUUAAGGGACUGGGGUGCAGAGAUAUAAGAGGUUGGGGCACGGAAAUAAGGGAUUGGGGCACAGAGAUGCGAGGUUGUGGCACGGAAAUAAGGGAUUGGGGCACAGAGAUGUUGGGGCAUGGAAAUAAGGGAUUGGGGGUUCUUGCCCCGUAGAAAAGCGGGACUUGCCGCUAAGGGUGAAGGAGAAGGGGUUGAGGGGUACUUGCCCCUGCCCCAGAAAAGCAGAGAAGGGGUAGAGACAAGGAGAGAAGGGGUUGAGGGGUACUUGCCCCUUCCCCAGAAAAGCGGGACUUGCCGCUAAGGGUGAAGGACCAAGGCAGGCGUCCCUGCGUGGUCUGACACCUUUGAAACAUGGGUGAAUAAUCAGAGGCGUCCCUGCAAUGAUUAAACACCAAGGGAAGACUGCCUUCCCAGUCCGUGACCGGCGCCGGAGUUUUGGGUCCACGGAUAAAACGUGUCUCCUUUGUCUCUACCAGAAAAUACCAGAAAAUGAAAGGAAUUGAAAUUAAGAGAAGGGAGAGAUUGAAGUGUGGCACCAAGAUUGAAAGGAGAAAGAGGUUGAGGGUUAGUGAGGGAGGUUGGAGAAGAGAGUAAAAAGAGGCCGCUUACAGGAUUUGAAAUUGGUGAGAUGUUUCUUGGGCUGGUCGGUCUGAGGACCUGAGGUCGUAGGUGGAUCUUUCUCACGGAGCAAAGAACAGGAGGACGGGGGAUUGAUCUCCCAAGGGAGGUCCCCCGAUCCGAGUCACAGCACCAAAUUUCAUGCGCGUCCCUGUGAAAAGACCACCAAACAGGCUUUGUGUGAGCAGUAAAGCUGUUUAUUUCACUUGGGAGCAGGUGGGCUGAGUCCGAAAAGAGAGUCAGCGAAGGGAGAUAAGGGUGGGGCCGUUUUAUAGGAUUUGGGUAGGUAAAGGAAAAUUGCAGUCAAAGCGGGUUUGUUCUCUGGCAGGCAGGAGUGGGGGUCGCAAGGUGCUCAGUGGGGGUGCUUUUUGAGCCAGGAUGAGCUAGGAAAAGGACUUUCACAAGGUAAUGUCAUCACGUAAGGCAAGGACUGGCCAUUUACACUUCUUUUGUGGUGGAAUGUCAUCAGUUAAGGUGGGGCAGGGCAUAUUCACUUCUUUUGUGAUUCUUCACUUACUUCAGGCCAUCUGGGCUUAUAUGUGCAAGUCACAGGGGAUGCGAUUGCUUGGCUUGGGCUCAGAGGCUUGACAGUAGCCACAGUCUGGAUAAGGAUAAGCAACUGGAUCAUAACAAUCAUGCAAUGAUACAUCAGGACCCUCGACCUCACAACAUUUUGUCUACCAUAUGCUUAAAAGAAGAGCUAAAAUUCUAUAAGGGCGAGAAAGACCAUCAACAAUCAACAUAACAGAUAACUACAUUAUGUGAUAUUUUAGAAGUUGAUAGCCUCAUUAAAAAAAGAAAGAAACAGUAGAGCAGAGUAAGGAAGAUAAUAAGAAUCUAGUGGCCAGAAGAGGCAAAUUGUAGUAAUAAAUAAGAAGGUCCAGAUAGGACGCAUUGAGUCAGUGACAUUUGACCAAAAUUUUGAAAGAGAAGAAAUGUUUCACUAAUUGGAUAUCUGCGAGCGGAGCAUUCCAGGCAGAGGGGACUGCAAGAGCAAAGGCGGUUGCUCAGGAGCCUGCUUGCGGAGACAUCAGGAGCAACGUUAGCAAGAAAAAGGAGGAAAGGCAAAUAGGCAUUUACUUUAAGCAUUACAAACUAGCAAAAUGUCCCAACAAUGAAGAAAUACUUACUUUUAAGAAUAAAAUGAAGAAAAUAUGAGAUCUAAGUGAGCAACUGGGAAGUUUACUCCAACAGAUCUGAGUCAACAUUUACAAAUCCCUAUGCUACACUGAAUAGUUCAGAACUUUGGAACUUCAAGACUCUGGUACAUUCAUCAAGAAAAUAUCUCCAUCCAGGUGUCUGGAUGGGCAGUUUGCAGCUCUUCUGCAGUGGGCCAUUUGCAGCUUUUCUCAGGGGAAAGGCUACACUGUGGGGCUUCUUCAAUCUCAACACACAGAAGAGUAACUGCUAUUGAAUUCACAUUUAAAACAUAGCUAUAUUUUCCAAAUCAGUUUUCCAUGCUAUCAUUUUAUUUGCACUUCAUAAAAAUACCAUAAAGUAGAAAGGACUGAAAAGUAUCAUAUUUAACUUAGGAGGGGGUGAAGGAUACUGGUUGAGUGCAAGGGUGUUGGAGUAGGAAAGACUGAGUCUGAAUCCCAGCUUUGUCAUUUACUGUUUCUUUCUGUAAGUUAUAUAUUCUUUUUUUUUCCUCAGUUCCCCAUUUAUAAAAUAGAAAAAAUGGCACCACCUACUCAUAAGUUUGUUUUGAGAAAUACAGUGUAUGAUACCUGUUAAACACAUUGGAUAAUGCCCAGAUGUAUUAUAUAUUCAAUAAAUGAAAAUUGUUAUUUAUGUUAAUAGUAUUGCUUUUGAAUGGAAAAAUGAUACACAGAGAAGUUAAAAUGAUGUGAAAAAAGCCAAGAGCUGGUUAAUAGCAUAGUUGAAUUUAGAAGUCACUUUAAUUCCUGUAUCCCUAACCUACAAUAUUUCCCUAACCUAUGACAGUAUGUGAUUAAGUGCAAAAUAUAUAGAUAAUAAAAAGUUACAUAAAAGUUUGCAUGACAUGGACAAUCGUAUACUCCAUGUAUUCUACCUUGGAAAACCAAUGAUAAUUCUAAAUUUUACUUGAAGUUUCCUAGCUCCAUAAGCUGUUUACUAGAUAGAAAUCUUUUGUUAUGUAUUUGAAAAAUCAGAUAAUCUAAAAUGUAUCCCCUGGUUGUGACCUGAACUUCUUCGGUCUCAGUGGACAUAAAUAUUCCAAUCUUGUGUACAGUUUAUCUUUGAAUAUAAAUAAAUAUAUGGUUUCUCA
This 8103-nucleotide long non-coding RNA is filed under the name Homo sapiens (human). Its description in RNAcentral is "HSALNT0034486". Lineage: Eukaryota; Metazoa; Chordata; Mammalia; Primates; Hominidae. The record is from RNAcentral.